AUGAACAAGAUUCGUGGCAGUUUAAGGGUCACAAAUCUUGAGAAUGUUGCUGGGAAGGAUCAAGCCUUAGAAUCAAAGCUGCACCAGAAAAGUCAUCUUGGCAGCUUAGGACUUGUAUGGAGUUAUGAAAAUAACACAAAUGCAGAGGAUAGUUUACAUUUGGAGGUUCUAAAAGGCCUGAUGCCACCGCCUCAGCUUGGGGAUCUUACAAUUGACGGUUACAGAUCUUCAGAAUAUCCAGGCUGGUUACUUGAUGGUUCAUAUUUUGAGAAUUUGGAAUCUUUAAGCUUUAAUAAUUGCAGCGCAUUACAAAGCCUACCGUCCAAUAGCCUUGAAUUUUUACAUGUGGACAAUUGCCCACUGCUUAUAUUUAUUUCCAACGAUGAGAUGGAACAUCAUGAUCAGAGAGAGAAUAUCAUGAGGACAGAUCACUUGGAAUCACAGCUUCAUUUAAUCUGGGAGGUGGAUUCAAGAUCACUUAUUAGGUCUAUACUCCCGAGGGAACAUUCAUUUCUGAAGCAGUUGUUGACAGUGAUGCAUAGUGAUGUGACACAUGUUCAAAACCUUGAGAGUGCUCUACCAAGAGAGAAGGAUAAAGUAUUUGUGAAGGAGGAUGUCAUCAAGGCAUGGAUAUAUUGCCACGAGCAAAGGAUACGACUCACGUAUGGAAGUAGCAUUGGGCUGCCACUUGUUCCACCAUCAGGACUUCGUCAACUUUAUCUUUCUUCAUGCUGUAUUACAGAUGGAGCUUUAGCUGUUUGCCUUGCUGGCCUAGCUUCACUGAAAACUUUGUUCUUAAAAGAGAUUAUGACUCUAACUACACUUCCUUCAGAAGAGGUCCUCUGA
This 846-nucleotide ribosomal RNA is filed under the name Triticum aestivum (bread wheat). RNAcentral describes it as "partial small subunit ribosomal RNA". The record is from RNAcentral. Lineage: Eukaryota; Viridiplantae; Streptophyta; Magnoliopsida; Poales; Poaceae.